Molecule: ribosomal RNA, 682 nt
Filed under: uncultured bacterium
Lineage: Bacteria
Description: bacterial SSU rRNA
Rfam family: Bacterial small subunit ribosomal RNA (bases 1-557)
Source: RNAcentral
CCUACGGGAGGCAGCAGUAGGGAAUCUUCCACAAUGGGCGAAAGCCUGAUGGAGCAACGCCGCGUGAGUGAUGAAGGCCUUCGGGUUGUAAAACUCUGUCAUUCGGGACGAACCGGAGUCUGAGGAAAUGCAGACUCUCUGACGGUACCGGAGGAGGAAGCCCCGGCUAACUACGUGCCAGCAGCCGCGGUAAUACGUAGGGGGCAAGCGUUGUCCGGAUUCACUGGGCGUAAAGCGCGCGCAGGCGGUGAUGUAAGUCUGAGGUGAAAACCCGAAGCUCAACUUCGGGACUGCCUUGGAUACUGCGUCACUUGAGGAUAGGAGAGGCAAGGGGAAUUCCACGUGUAGCGGUGAAAUGCGUAGAGAUGUGGAGGAACACCUGUGGCGAAGGCGCCUUGCUGGCCUAUUUCUGACGCUGAGGCGCGAAAGCGUGGGGAGCAAACAGGAUUAGAUACCCCUGGUAGUCCACGCUGUAACGAAUAGAGUGCUAGGUGGUAGGUGGGUCGUCAUACCACUCUGUGCCGAACGACGUAACGACGAUUAAGUAACACUCCGUUCCGUUCGGGGUAGGGUUACGGGUUCCGGCGAAGACGUUAGAACGUUACGAAAGGAAAGUUAGGUUACGGCGUUGGAGGACGUUGGCCGAACGGACCGACCGAACCGAAGGGGAAGGUUAAGGAGG